UGACCAGUUAAUCAUUUAAGAAUAUUUUGUUACAUUCCUUUAUCAAACAAUUCAUAUUAUUAUGCUUACAAAUAUAAUAGAAUAACGUUAGCGUAUAAAAAUAUUGGCACAGCGUCGCUUAUAUAUAAUAUUUUAUUUGAAUAA
Long non-coding RNA from Maniola jurtina (meadow brown), 144 nucleotides. RefSeq lists it as uncharacterized. The transcript is spliced from 3 exons. Lineage: Eukaryota; Metazoa; Arthropoda; Insecta; Lepidoptera; Nymphalidae. The record is from RefSeq and is a predicted model, not a curated record.